Molecule: small RNA, 147 nt
Filed under: Streptomyces xiamenensis
Lineage: Bacteria; Bacillati; Actinomycetota; Actinomycetes; Kitasatosporales; Streptomycetaceae
Description: c-di-AMP sequence
Rfam family: c-di-AMP riboswitch aptamer (ydaO/yuaA leader)
About the family: This family represents a conserved RNA structure found upstream of the ydaO and yuaA genes in Bacillus subtilis and related genes in other bacteria. The ydaO/yuaA element is thought to act as a genetic "off" switch for the ydaO and yuaA genes in its native state. It is believed that the element may be triggered during osmotic shock leading to activation of ydaO, a predicted amino acid transporter gene, and members of the yuaA-yubG operon which code for KtrA and KtrB K+ transporters.
Source: RNAcentral
GCCGUACCGAGACCGAUCCGUUCCCCCGGAACGGGCCGGACCCGGGGCGGCUUGGGGUGAAGCCGGGACGGAUCCGUCCGCCCCGGCCGGGCAACUCACUGACCCGAACCCGACAGCUCACCUCGCAGGCGUCCGGUGAGAAGGAUC